AGAUAUACACUCUUUACCUCAUUUAUGUCAAACAAUACACAAAGUGCCAAGUAACUGCUUUUUCCUGACCUCUCCAACCCUCUUCAUUCCCGCUGACCCUGUCAUAAAGCUUGCAGACCAAGCAGCUCCUGAAAACAUCCACCAGUCUCCCUAAAGGCCCUCAGGAGGAUCAGGUCAAGCUAUCAGGGGAAGUUGCUCCGUACCAUUAUACAUAUAUUGUAUUUUUUUGUGCUCUCUAAAUUAGAUGUUGUCUUUCCAUAUACAGACAUACAAUGACAUAUUGCCAUGGCCAGAUUAUGCUGUCUCCAAAGAUGUCCCAGGAGGAAGCUUGUGGAUGGCUCAGGACAUCCCUCCCACAACCCAACAGCGACGUGUCCUCAGCCACUGCACCGAGCAGGUCCUGCAACGAAGGAGUUGUGUUUAGUUCUUCCCUCUCUCUUCUUCCAUUCCCAUGUUCCACAGUCACCUAUCUAACCAGCCUCCACAGCUCUGGGAAGAGCAACAGGCAGGGUACCAACGUUUGUGUCCCCGAGAGAGAAGCCUUUCCAAGCAUCACUCCAACCCAGAGAGAGCUGCUGAGUCCCUGCUGAGGGUCUGGGCAAAGCUCCCCACACUGCCAUGCCCACCAUGGGAGCUGUACAAGAAAGGGAAGGCUCUGGCAUUAACAGGAGGAAAAUCAAGCCGCCUACAAAUCGCUACACCUUGAAUAUCCAAACAAACCCACGUCCCAGGCAGUGCUCGGCUGUGCUGGUUUGGGCACGGAGAUUUGUUUGAAAGGAAGGAUAAAGCCGGAUCUCACUUUGUUUCCUUGCUGCCCUAAAUUUCACCUCGCCUUUGAACAGCUUUGCCUCAGCACUCUGAACUUUGCAUAGCUCUUAAAAAUAACGGGAAAACAUCAAAAGAGCCGUUUCCUCGUCCACAGCCCGGAGCGGUCCCUGCUGCUGAACCCCCAGCCCGGGGCGAAGGGACUGAGCGCAGGCACAGGGGCACCGCUUCGGUGACUUAACAGUGACAUCCAGCGGUCACCCGGGUCUCUCUGACAUCAGCCCGCCCGGGAAACUUCGUAAAGCCUCUUUUCUUAUCUAAAAGUCGUCAUAUUUAUGCGUCAGCAAGAGCUGAGCUGGGAGCAAGCUCUUCCCUCCUGCUCGGGAUGCUCUAACUCAGCUGCUCAGCUACAUUAGUCUGUGCCUUCAACUUUUGGUUAAACCUCAGAGUAACAGAUAAUCUUAAUAUCACCCUGGUUUUCCUCACUUUUAUAACCCCCAAGUGUUUGCAGCACAUGAAUAUUAUUCAUAAUUAGGCUGCUAUAAAUGUAAAAAUCAAAACCCUGUGAAACAUCAGACCACAGAAACUUUUCCUUCUACUAGUUAUUACACUAAACACAAAAAUAAGCAGUUUUCAUCUCAAGUUUAACACUACAGGCAUAUUUUUACAUGAUAAUUUGAUUUUCAAAAAAAGUCUAACUGUGAAGUUUAAUGAUACCAAAUGAAGCAGCUUGUCAGUUCAUAUUUAUAUUCAAUUCUGAGCUUUCACAGCUCCCAGUGUGUUUCUUUAGUAUUUUGUUGAAGAUAUUCUGACAGUCUUUCUCAAAACUGUCUCUAGGAAAAGCAGCAUGAAAACCUGCAAAGAAACAAAAAUCUUCCUACACUUCUGGCUCGAGGUUUGGGUGGUUGAGGAGGAGACUUAUUCCCUACGUGCACAUGGGGCUGGUGCUCAAAGGCUCAAAUGCUUGGUUGUUGCUUCUCCUACAAGCCAUGCAAAGUCCUGGAGGAGUCCCCAGAGGUUAAAAAUACAGAAAUCUGCAGGAAGGAAAGGUACAGCCACCUGAGCAUUGCUGAGUCCACACAUGAAGGUCAGGUACUAAUUUUGAGGUUUCCUUCUUCCCUUUCUGUCCCCUUGUCCUGGUUGCACACCCAGGAGAUGAGGUACUUGGCUGUUGAUUUCCAAGUGCUGCUCUCAGCUCCCAGACGGAUGGAGCCUGCCAAGCACAGCUCUGACCUCCUGGGUUACAGGACCUGCCUUACCACAGGUAGCAAAACCUGAGCCAUUAUUCAUCAUCUGUUGCCACACAGUGAAAAAUAAGGGUCACUUCCCUGCUGACAGGGGUUUGUAGAUCUUACUCCUGCCCUCGUCCUAGGUGGGGAUGUGUCACUGAGCCCAGACUUGAUGCUUUAUUUAAAGGAAGAUUUCGUCUCUGGUUCCCACAAAAGCCAUGUGCACUCUGAGUGAGUCUUCUGUUGCUCCCCAAAUCCCUUCUCCUCCUCUCGGCUGGUGUGGCAAAAAAAAAAAAAAAAAGUAGGGUGGAAGGAAAGGAUAUGUCCAAAAUCACAGGCACAUCCCAACCUACAGCCAUGCAAGAUGCUUGCUGAGGGUGAGGAAGGAAAAGGCUGGGGAUGAACCCUGCCUCUCCUAAGUAGAACCUGUUUUGCACUAGGAAUUCAGGGUGAAACCCUUGUGCUGUUGGAGAGCUCAGAUACCUCCUCAAGCUACCCCACUGUCAGUGAAGGUCACCCCAUGUCACAGGCAGUGCAAGCAAUAGUCCCACUGUCAGGAGCCAGAAGAUGUAUUUCUUUUUAAUACAAGUCUCUCCUUAGCUGACAGCUGCAUUUCAUGGUCUCACGGCCACUCCAGAAACAAAAGCAACCUUUUCAUCCCAACAAGCAAGGGUGGAUGACCUCCUUUGAAGCACCUCCUGAUUCAUGAGUGUUAAUUUGCCGUGCUUCUCCUCUUCUCUCCCAGCCACACUGCAGGAGCCAGGGGACAAGGUGACUGGAGGUUGGGUCCAUCCCUCUGCGUGGCCUUGGGCUUGUGAGUACAAAAUCUAUGAGACAAGAAUCUUCUUAAACUUAACCUCCCAAGUUCCGUGGAGGAGAGCCCAUUGCAGUCCUUGUUUCCAUGCAGAGAGGAGACAGAGGAGCUGCUGGGCAGCGCUGGAUUCUCUCCAACGAGGAUGAAAGGAGGUAUCGUGUGAACUAUGCUUGGGGAAUCUGUGCUUGAGAUUUCGCUGCUCGAGCUCUCACAGUCGCCUGCUUCGUUUUGCCAGGUGCUAAAAUCACUUCUGCCCCAUCCUCUGUUGUGAAGGUAUUUGCUGAGAGCUUACAGAUGGGAAGGAAUGGCCAGGUCAGCCAAAACCAUCUUACCUGCACGGUCACCCCAAGCCCUGACCUGUCCUGAUGCUCUGCUGGACCCAUCUUCUUCCCUCUGCCCACCAAACUGCUGAGCAGGAGGUGGCUGAGGGCUGGCAAAGGUCUGUGCUCAGAGCAAGGGACCCCAUCAGCACCCAGGGUGUGGGUGACAGAUUCACAGAAUAUGCUGAGUUGGAAAGGACCCAUCAGGAUCAUCAAGUCCAACUCCUGGCCCUGCACAGGACACUCCAAGAAUGCCACCAUGUGCCUGAGAGCGUUGUCCAAACAAUUCUUGAACUCUGACGGGCCUGGUGCUGUGAUCACUACCCUGAGGAGCCUGUUCUAGUGCUAAACCACCCACUGGGUGAGAAACUUCUUCCUGAUAUCCAAGCUAAACCUCCCCACGAGGUCAUGAGCAGGUGCCUCAGAAGUGGAUGGGUGAAAUAGCACCCAGGAAGGCAUCCCCACUGCUGUGAUGGAUAGAGGAAUAUGAAUUUCCACUCCUAUAGUGACUCCUAGAAUAAGGGUAGUAGAAAAGAACUAAGAGCACCCCAAACCACUGUAGCUUCAUUCAGCUUUGGAAUCUCCACAAUCAGCUACGCUGAGAAGUGUCUUUCUUGCAGCCCAUGUACCACCAGUUUGUAAUGCCCUCCCCUCGCCAGGAAAUUCAGAAAUUUUUUACUGAGUGGAGGGAAAAUUGUAAAGAUCUUUGGAUGUUUUUCUGCCUGAUUAGGAAAAAAACAAUCAGGAGGGCUGUCAGUACAUUUUCACAAACCUGAAUGGUCAUUCCUUGUAUCUUCAUACUCAAGCAUUUGCAGCUUAUUGGAGCCACACACCUUGCAUAUCCGAUGCACAGUCAGCCAACAAGGCUGGAAUAUCAGUUCUAAUCCCAGACAUGUUACAUUUUGUAGAAAGCUUGAUCUAACCCAGAUCUAUGAGAGUUAAACCCUGCUCUGGAUAUUUCCAGAUCAGCAAGCAUUUGGGGUCAAUUUGCACCUUUCAGACUGAAAGCGAAAUUCAGCCUUUUUGCUGGGAGCAUUUUCCCUUGGGCCCUCGGGUACCCCAGUAAGUGCCCCAGCAAAGGGGGGUGCUGGAAGGAGCUUGAGCUUCUGCAUCCUGCUGUUCAAAUGUGUUUUCGUGGUACUUGGACAUUCCAAGCAGGAUCUUCCCACUCCAGGUGCACCAGGGACCCGCUGCACAAGCUCAGGUGUGUGAUGCUCACUCACACCUCUCUGCUUCUCCAAGAUAUAUUUGAGCUCUGUCCAUGGUGUUUGCCCAACAGCGAGGUAUUUGGAUAGCAUUUGAGUUUGCUGUGUUUGAAAUGUUCCCACUCUGCAUAAAUUUGUCAGGACUGAAGAUUAUAUUAUCCAUAAACUCUCAGAGGGGAUUCUCACAGCCAGCCUUCCCUCUCCACACACACUGGAAUGGACUUGCUAAGUGCUCAGACCAGGAACCCUUUCAGGCCAAGUUCAUGAUUCAGUGAACCAGCCCUGAAAUGCAAUUCCAACCCUAAAAGUGAGAUAUGCUUUCAUUUCACUCCCAUAUCUGCAGAGUUUUCUCCUUUUUUAAUCUUUUUUUUUCCUGCCGUGGUGUUUAUGCCCUGAUUGGGCUUUUUCUCCAUUGCAAAGAGUUACCUACCUGAUAAAGGAAAGUCUGGGGGCAGCAUGGAAGAUUCUUAGGAGGUCUUGAAUGUUGCUGGAAGACCUGAGGAGGAACAAUUUAGCUGUCAGAUAAAUCGUUGUAAUAAGUGACCCGACGUUUCUUUCACAUUUGACCAUGUUGCACAGCGAAAAUUGACAAAAUCCUGUUCCAGCUGAAAAUAUUUUCUCCUGGUUGUGUAGCUGGUUAAUCCUUAAAGGUUCUCAGAUUUUCCAUCCCAUAGCAGAGGAGUUCAGCUGUGGCUGUGAGCUCAUUAUUCCCAGCCGGCUGAUGUUAUUAUUCAGCUGCUCUCAUUCCAGGCUAUUGUUCUAGUUCACCUUAAACCAGUUAUACUAAAAACAUCUUUGAGAGUGGCAGUGGCACCAUUUUCUGGGCAGUUGAGGACUUGAAAGCAUGAAAGCCAAAUAGGCAGACGGAGGCAAUCUGCAAAAGUCAGUUCAAAAUCAAUAAGAUGAUACAUUUCAGGUGAGAAGAUGCUGAAUAGUUAUUUUAAAAUGCCUUGGGAUUAGACAAAAUGUACUUCCCAUCCCAUUCAUCUAUAAUAAGUUGUUGGCAAUUUCUGCAUGAUUGAAUUUCAUUUCAUAUCUAGGUUGUAUAUUAAGGUUCACCUGAACCUGCAGGGUUUUUUUUUAGUCCACAGACUAUUUUGAAAAUUUUUAGAGGUUUUUUUUAAAUAAAUGUAUCACACAGAGGGCAACUGGAGCAAAUAGUUCUCUGGGAUGUGGCUCCUGUUAAAGAGCUUUGCUUGUAAAUAGAAUUGCCCUGUUACAGAGGAUGAAAUGCACUAUGUGAGAGGGAAGCCAGAGGAGUUUGCUGUGGGAUGUGAGUGCAAUCCUGACAGCUUCCCUGAGGCUGCAGGAGCAAACCUCAGUUAGUGCUAUCACUGGGUACUCCAGAAAUGUGUGGGCACCUGCACGAAACAGCAUUAUCUGGGGGAGGGAAAGAUAAUAGAAGCUCACUCCCACAGUAACCUAGUUUGCUCCAUGAUUAAUUAUUAAUGAAGAAAAGGUUAGCAAGCUCAGUAAAGAGAAAAUGCAGGUACUUCUUUAUUUAAUUUCCUUCCAGUUAGUUUAGGCAAUAUAUGCACACUGGAGAAAAACUGAAUUUAAGGGGGUUUUUUUCUAUAUCUUUGCCAAACCUUAGUUGAACCUGGUGUACUCGGGAUCUCCUGAAAGAUCUAGGUGUUGUCAUGUGAAUGAGAAGGGCUGAUGUGGUGGUGCAGGCUUGGAGGGCUCAGGGUCAGAGCAUCACAAGGAUAGCAAUAGGUUUCAUCUCCUCCAGAAAGGGCACAGAUCAGGCAUGAGGUGCCUGCAGCUUCCUUGCCUAGUCCUCCCCACCCAGCACAUGGGGC
This is a long non-coding RNA of Pseudopipra pipra, 6135 nucleotides long. RefSeq lists it as uncharacterized. The record is from RefSeq and is a predicted model, not a curated record. NCBI's taxonomy places the organism in Eukaryota, Metazoa, Chordata, Aves, Passeriformes, Pipridae. The transcript has 6 exons.